GAUGAACGCUGGCGGCGUGCCUAAUACAUGCAAGUCGAGCGAACGGACGAGAAGCUUGCUUUUCUGAUGUUAGCGGCGGACGGGUGAGUAACACGUGGAUAACCUACCUAUAAGACUGGGAUAACUUCGGGAAACCGGAGCUAAUACCGGAUAAUAUUUUGAACCGCAUGGUUCAAAAGUGAAAGACGGUCUUGCUGUCACUUAUAGAUGGAUCCGCGCUGCAUUAGCUAGUUGGUAAGGUAACGGCUUACCAAGGCAACGAUGCAUAGCCGACCUGAGAGGGUGAUCGGCCACACUGGAACUGAGACACGGUCCAGACUCCUACGGGAGGCGGCAGUAGGGAAUCUUCCGCAAUGGGCGAAAGCCUGACGGAGCAACGCCGCGUGAGUGAUGAAGGUCUUCGGAUCGUAAAACUCUGUUAUUAGGGAAGAACAUAUGUGUAAGUAACUGUGCACAUCUUGACGGUACCUAAUCAGAAAGCCACGGCUAACUACGU
This 496-nucleotide ribosomal RNA is filed under the name uncultured bacterium. RNAcentral's name for it is "partial 16S ribosomal RNA". It matches the Rfam family "Bacterial small subunit ribosomal RNA", at positions 28 to 506 of the family's 1533-position model. The record is from RNAcentral.